UGGGGUAUAUUGCACAAUGGGGGCACCCGUGAUCCAGCAAUGCCGCGUGUGUGAAGAAGGCCUUCGGGUUGUAAAGCUCUUUCUGUGGGACAAACAUGGCGGUUCUAACACCUCAGUCCUUGCUGGUACCCAAAGAAGAAGCACGGGCUAAUUCUGUGCCAGCAGCGGCGGUAAUACAGAGGGUGCAAGCGUUAUUCGGAAUUACUGGGCGUAAAGCGUGCGUAGGUGUUUUGUUAAUUCAGGUGUGAAAUCCUCGGCUUCAACCCGGGAACUCCUUUUGAUCCUGCCAGACUGGAGUGUGGUAGAGGAUAGUGGAUUUCCCGGGGUACCGGUGAAAUGCGUAGAUUUCGGGAGGACCUUCAGUGGGGAAGGCGGCUAUUUGGACCAACACUGCCAUUGAGCUAGGAAAGCGUGGGUAGCAACCAGGAUUAGAUACCUUGUUAUUCCCCCCGGUAACCGAUGUUUGCUAGCCGUUGGGGAAUUUAUUUUCUCAGUGUCGCAGCUAACGCAUUAAGCACACCGCCUGGGGAGUACGGUCGCAAGAUUA
Molecule: ribosomal RNA, 547 nt
Filed under: uncultured bacterium
Lineage: Bacteria
Description: bacterial SSU rRNA
Rfam family: Bacterial small subunit ribosomal RNA
Source: RNAcentral